Molecule: long non-coding RNA, 329 nt
Organism: Rhodamnia argentea
Lineage: Eukaryota; Viridiplantae; Streptophyta; Magnoliopsida; Myrtales; Myrtaceae
Exons: 3
Source: RefSeq, a predicted model, not a curated record
AGUCCCUGGUUAGUGUUCCGGACCUAUCAUCGGUUCCAAAUCUGGAGAGCUUGGAUCUUCAUUUGUGCGAAAGCUUGGUGGAGGUUCACCAAUCCGUCGGGUAUCUUGACAAGUUAAAAUUUUUGUUACUAACGUUGUGCUCUAAUCUUAGUAUCUUUCCCAAUCCACUCAUGACAAAAUCUCUUCAAACCCUCAGUCUCUCUGGUUGCUCUAAACUUGAGAAGUUUCCUGAUAUUCCGGGAAAGAUGGAACAUCUAGAAAAACUUGAUCUAGAAAGGACCGCCAUCAAAGAACUCCCCGCAUCAAUUGAAAAUCUUGUCUCUCGUGAA